GGAGGGUGCAAGCGUUGUUCGGAAUUACUGGGCGUAAAGCGCGCGUAGGCGGUUUUAUAAGUCAGAUGUGAAAGCCCUCGGCUCAACCGGGGACGUGCAUUUGAAACUGUGAGACUUGAGUAUUGGAGGGGGUGGUGGAAUUCCCGGUGUAGAGGUGAAAUUCGUAGAUAUCGGGAGGAAUACCAGUGGCGAAGGCGACCACCUGGCCAAAUACUGACGCUCAUGUGCGAAAGCGUGGGGAGCAAACAGGAUUAGAUACCCUGGUAGUCCACGCCGUGAACGAUGUCAACUAGGUGUUGGGACGGUUAAUCGUCUCAUUGCCGCAGCUAACGCAUUAAGUUGACCGCCUGGGGAGUACGGUCGCAAGAUUA
Molecule: ribosomal RNA, 371 nt
Filed under: uncultured bacterium
Lineage: Bacteria
Description: bacterial SSU rRNA
Rfam family: Bacterial small subunit ribosomal RNA
Source: RNAcentral